RNAcentral lists this ribosomal RNA (1812 nucleotides) under Curtonida isos. RNAcentral describes it as "SSU rRNA". It matches the Rfam family "Eukaryotic small subunit ribosomal RNA". Lineage: Eukaryota; Metazoa; Arthropoda; Malacostraca; Decapoda; Munididae. The record is from RNAcentral.
AGACUUAAGCCAUGCAUGUGUCAGUACAAACCAUAACUAAAGUGAAACCGCGAAUGGCUCAUUAAAUCAGCUAUGAUUCAUUGGAUCUUUCUACCCAGUUUCCUUGGAUAACUGUGGUAAUUCUAGAGCUAAUACAUGCAAAUUUAGUCCCUAACCUUGCGGGAAGGGCGCUUUUAUUAGUAUCAAAACCGGUCGGGCUUCGGUCUGUAAACCCACCAGUGAUGACUCUGGAUAACUUUUAGCUGAGCGCACGGUCUUUGCACUGGCGCCGCUUCUUUCAAGUGUCUGCCUUAUCAGCUUUCGAUUGUAAGUUAUGUGCUUACAAUGGCUAUAACGGGUAACGGGGAAUCAGGGUUCGAUUCCGGAGAGGGAGCCUGAGAAACGGCUACCACAUCUAAGGAAGGCAGCAGGCACGCAAAUUACCCACUCCCAGUACGGGGAGGUAGUGACGAAAAAUAACGAUGCGAGACUCAUCCGAGGCCUCGCAAUCGGAAUGAGUACACUUUAAAUCCUUUAACGAGGAUCGAUUGGAGGGCAAGUCUGGUGCCAGCAGCCGCGGUAAUUCCAGCUCCAAUAGCGUAUAUUAAAGUUGUUGCGGUUAAAAAGCUCGUAGUUGGAUUUCAGUAUUGGACUGAUGGUUCACCUUCUGGUGUUUAAAAACCUAUCAUGCUUCAAAACCAGCUAACACAACAACUUUGUGUCUACGCCCCACUAGCUCACACGGGGUGCUCUUAAUCGAGUGUCCCGAGUGGCUGGUAUGUUUACUUUGAAAAAAUUAGAGUGCUUAAAGCAGGCUAAGUAUAUAGCCUGAAUGUCUGUGCAUGGAAUAAUAAAAGAGGACCUCGGUUCCAUUUUGCCAGUUUUGCCUGGAACCCGAGUUAAUGAUUAACAGGCACAGAUGGGGGCAUUAGUACUGCGACGCUAGAGGUGAAAUUCUUGGACCAAGGAUGUUUUCAUUAAUCAAGAACGAAAGUUAGAGGUUCGAAGGCGAUCAGAUACCGCCCUAGUUCUAACCAUAAACGAUGCUGACCAGCGAUCCGCCGGUGUUAAUACCAUGACUCGGCGGGCAGCUUCCGGGAAACCAAAGUCUUUGAGUUCCGGGGGAAGUAUGGUUGCAAAGCUGAAACUUAAAGGAAUUGACGGAAGGGCACCACCAGGAGUGGAGCCUGCGGCUUAAUUUGACUCAACACGGGAAACCUCACCAGGCCCAGACACUGGAAGGAUUGACAGAUUGAGAGCUCUUUCUCGAUUCAGUGGGUGGUGGUGCAUGGCCGUUCUUAGUUGGUGGAGCGAUUUGUCUGGUUAAUUCCGAUAACGAACGAGACUCUGGCCUAUUAACUAGUCGACGGAUCACUAUAAUGAAUGAGUGUCCAGUUCGCAACAUCUUCUUAGAGGGAUAAGCGGUAGUCCUAGCCGCACGAGAUUGAGCAAUAACAGGUCUGUGAUGCCCUUAGAUGUUCUGGGCCGCACGCGCGCUACACUGAAGGGAUCAGAGUGUUUUCCCCCUCCGAGAGGAGUGGGUAACCCGAUGAAACCCCUUCAUGAUAGGGAUUGGGGCUUGCAAUUGUUUCCCAUGAACGAGGAAUUCCCAGUAAGCGCAAGUCAAGAGCUUGCGUUGAUUACGUCCCUGCCCUUUGUACACACCGCCCGUCGCUACUACCGAUUGAAUGAUUUAGUGAGGCCUUCGGACUGUCGCUCUUGGAUGUCUGACUGCUGUUAUACCACAUGGUUCAGUAAGUUCGUGCCUAGAGCUGACGGAAAGAUGUCCAAACUUGAUCAUUUAGAGGAAGUAAAAGUCGUAACAAGGUUUCC